AGUAACGGCAUCUGAGCCCUCCAAUUCCAGGUCAAAUGGAUUAUCUCAUUCCUGGAGUGAAAGGAUCCCAGACACGAAACAUAUUUCAGACAUCUGUGAAAAUGGGAGACCUAGGAGUAAUUCUUGGCAAGGUAAUAUAGGAGGAAACAGAAAGAAAGUCAAAGGCAAAAGAUUUAGGCCACGGUCUAAUUCAACUGAGUGUCUUCACAGCCAUUCCUAUAGUAAUUCCCAAUGAUGGUGACAACCUGCACCAUCACUGCAGGGUUUUGUCUACAGUAAACUGCCAUU
Non-coding RNA from Tinamus guttatus (white-throated tinamou), 288 nucleotides. NCBI's taxonomy places the organism in Eukaryota, Metazoa, Chordata, Aves, Tinamiformes, Tinamidae. The record is from RefSeq and is a predicted model, not a curated record.